RNAcentral lists this non-coding RNA (25 nucleotides) under Mus musculus (house mouse). Lineage: Eukaryota; Metazoa; Chordata; Mammalia; Rodentia; Muridae. The record is from RNAcentral.
UGACUUUUGUUUUGAAUGUGGUGGA